Zingiber officinale is the source of this 102-nucleotide small nucleolar RNA. RefSeq annotates it as small nucleolar RNA Z43. The transcript has a single exon. The record is from RefSeq and is a predicted model, not a curated record. Lineage: Eukaryota; Viridiplantae; Streptophyta; Magnoliopsida; Zingiberales; Zingiberaceae.
GGACGAUGACGACUCAAUAUCAAGGUCUCGUUCGUCGUAAUGGCGGUGCUUGUCUCCGACUUGACGACCAUCCUGAUAUAUCACCACCCAUAUUCUGAGUCC